UGUGGGAGCGGGCUUGCUCGCGAUAACGGUGUGUCAGUCAACAUAAAUGCCAUCUGAUACACCGUUAUCGCGAGCAAGCCCGCUCCCACA
RNAcentral lists this unclassified non-coding RNA (90 nucleotides) under Pseudomonas migulae. Lineage: Bacteria; Pseudomonadati; Pseudomonadota; Gammaproteobacteria; Pseudomonadales; Pseudomonadaceae. The record is from RNAcentral.